AGUCCUGUAGUCACUAGAGAUCUCACAAGCAGCAAGAUAAAGUCCCUGCCUCCAUGAAGCUUACCUUGCAGUGGAGGAGGAAGACAAUAACAUCAUGUCAGAGGUGCUGCUACUGCUACUUCAAACUGUAAUAGUGUCUACAAACAAUUUGCACUUUGGAAUGGCACAAUCCCAGGGGGUAAUUAACAAAUCCAGGGAACAAUCUUUUUAAAAGCCUUUAAAAGCAACAGAGACUGAGGCCACCUUCGAUGAAACAGAAUCACUCCACUUUCUCUGUCAUUUCAGAAGAUACCUGGCUGACUCGUAGAGAGGUGUUGAGAGCACAGGCCCUGGGCUUUAUGGAAAGUUCCUCAAGAUGUGUUAAUUAGAAAUAAAAUGCAGCAUGGUUAUCGGCUGCAGAGCUUUCUGAAUGAAGCAGACUCUGAAGAGGGACUAAGAUUUCAAGAGUUAGAAGCAGAGUUCACAAAGGGCCACCCAAGGACUGUGAAUUCCAAACAUACCAUUCACUAUUCCAAGGUAGAAGACUGCGUUCACCAGCAUGCCUCCUUUCCGGAAGUGGUCGCUCAUGUGCUCUAACCAGUUGGCGUCCAAACCGCUCACUGUCUGGCCAUUCUUGGAGACAUGGAGAGGAAUGGUGACAGGGUAGUAUUGCCGGCACUUCUGAUGGCUCUUCGGUUUGUUGAAAAGGGUGAAGAUCUCCAUUUCUGUUGGGAUUUGUAAAGGGAGUGGAGAGAGAAGAGGUCAACUGAUGAUAAAAAUCUGUUUCAUCGGCUUAAGUGGAAUCUCUCAGGAGCCUGAAUAAAUGAUAUGAUGAAUGCUGAAAUCUCUGUGAGGCUGUAUUGUUGCCAGAUAAUAAAGCCUCAUUCCAAGUAGUAAGUUGAGGCUGGCUUAAAGUAACAUGGACCUGAAGGGUUGGGCUUCUGAUGGGGAACUUAGGUUUUUAAUCUGGAAUAUAAUGAAUAGCUGUUAUCUGCGAUUAAUAGGCACAGCUAGGUGUUUGAGAAAAGAACAUAGCAGAUGGUUCUAGAAAUUCAUACAAAGAUGUGUCUUAGAAAUAAAAGCAGACAUACUUGGGUGAGAAUGGUCUUUGAAAAACUAAAUGUACAGACACACAUAAAAACAAAAAUACUGCUCUAAUUCCAGGAACCUUGUACACUCCUGAACUCACUAUUUAUAAACUGCAGUAGUGUUUCCUGGGGCUGAACCCAUAAUACUUAAUCAAGUACAUCAAAAAUACAUCAUUGAUAUGUAAAAAUAAAUAUGUUCCCGUAAAUGAGAGUUCCUGCCUGGAGUGGCAGGUCGGUCCAAACAGCCAAAAAGGCACAGGGGAUGAGGCGCUGAGCUUUUGGUUCCUUCAUUUAUAGCACAGUUCUUCAGCAAUCAAUAAUCACUGCCACCCAGCAGCUGAGCCGCAACUGCCUACGUGCAGCUGGGCGUGGGUUAGCAGUAGCAGCCUCCAGAAGCAAAUACCUGGAAUUUCAAUCUAAGUCUGAGAGUCUAUUUUUGUGCUCCUCAUUUAGUCAAGCAAUCAGUUGACCCAGCUUAAAAAGUCUUGCUUACACAGGCUAGUCAGGAAUAUGCUUUGGUUUCCAAAAAUAUCUUCUUAAAUCAUAAGAAAAUCCCCACCCUUCUUUGAAACAAGAAUUUAAAGGUCAUAAACAAUGGUUGACAUUAGCAAGAAGGACAAAGCACAUUCAUGCUCCCUGCAUGAGACACCUGGACCCACACUCUCUGAUGCUGUUUCUCAGAUUUCAGUAUCUCACAAUGUUUUGUGGUAUCCAAGUACUAGUUGAUUUUUUUAAUUGACUCACUUUCCUUUAUUUAAACAAACACAUUUUUUUAGAAAAAGGAAACUUUGUUUCAUGACUAUGAAGGCAGUCCACUACCACUUGCCAAAAACAAGGGGUGAUGAUGAAGCACAUUAACACCAAAUAUGUUCAUCCAUCUAACAUCUAAAAUUAUCUCACAUAGGUCACAAAGUCUUCUCACAGCCCCGCCUGAGCGAACACCAGCAGAGAUCUCUAGGGACCAACGCUGGGCCAUAUUACUUUGUCAUCAGCAAUACCUGAAUGAACAGCAGCCAUUUCAGGCUUUCCAUCCAAUAGAACAAUUAGGGAAGGAAGGUGCCCGUCUUUGGAAGUGGCCACCUGUAUUUUAAACACCAAUUCUAGCCUGUUCAUCAUCCCCACGCCAAGUUGCUUUUCUCAGCCCUCCUGCUUACUCAGGAAGCCAUCUCCAGCCAGGAAGUACUUUCACACCAGAAAUUAGGUCUUGGUGUAUAGAACUGGCAGUCACUAGACUAGUUUGUGAGUUCAAAAUACAAACUUUAGAAAUGGAGCGACACAGAGGAGGUUCGUAAUGGAGGGAAUCCGGCCAUAAAUUGGGGCUGGGGUGGGCAGGAGGUGAACUAGAUGAUUGGGUGUUUUCCAGUCCUGGGCGUCAGGGGUUCAAUUAAAAGCUGCAGCUACUGAGGGCAAGAGAAUAAGCAAGGUUUUAGUGAGUUCUUGGGUUUAUUUGGAUUCCUUCGAAAGCAGACCCUGCAAGCUUUCCUGUGCAAGUAGUUUAUUUGGGAAGUGAUCCCAGGAAACAGAGGGAAGGAGUAGGAAUGGGAAACAGGGAGGAGCUGGAGAUGAUGCCAGUGAAUGAGUGCACUGAAGAGCAUGUUACCACUGGGGCAGCCAGGGCUCAAUCCCAACAAGGACCCUGAGACACUGUGUAAAACACACUUCAGAUUCACCCACCAAGGGCAAGGAAGGCGGGACAUUUAUCCUCAUAAAUUGAAGGUCACUCCUGAAUCAUUAAUUCCUCAGGGCCCAUUCCCGAGAAUGGCUGCAGGUAGAGAGGCUAAGGAAGCUGUGGGCUCGGCCAGAGCUGUCCACAGGUGACCCCAACAUGGGCCAUAGCACCACUCGCUACAGCCUGCUACAGUCAAGCACAAAUGCAAAUGAAUUAAGAAGAAGAAGAAAAAAAUCACAGCCUCUGUGUGGGAGAAGUAGGUGGGGAAUUUGGAAGUGGCCAAAGUCCAAAACUACAUGGUAACACUUGAUCACACAGAAGGAACUCCCACUCAAUGGCAAGACAGAAACAUAACUUUCCCAAACGCGUAAUGAACCAGAAAAAGGGGAAGGCCAAAGGAGAAGUGAGAAUGCUGGGGGUGUAGCGGAGGAAGACAGAGACCCUCAGAAAAGGUAGACGGUGCUGACAGCUUUCUUGGCUUGAUCCUCCCCAGGGGGCCAGACUGAAGCCAGAGACAGAAAUAAAUUUCUCAGGAAAAGGAAACAGUGUUGGAACGAAGAGCCUCCAAAGCAUCAGCAGCAAUGAAAUAUUGGGAGAAACCUGAUUGCAGAUGCGUAACCCUUGUACACUCCUCUGCCCCAUCAUCUCCUUGGCCCCAGUCCUUUCUCUACCCACAUGGAAACCAGCCAAGAGAACUGUCCAAAAGUGAUGUCCUUUGAUGUUUUAAUAUUCUGAUUCUCCAACACACAUCCUCACGUGAGCAAGCACCAAAGAUUCCAAAAAGAAGCCCCACGUUUGUUUAAAUUUUCUCAGCUGCUCUGUGACUCUGCCAUGACCCCAGCUGGAAGAUUUUUCCAGACAUGGGAUGCCUCCUGGUUUCUCUGAUGGAAGCUGUGGCAACGGAGACACUGAGGCUGUCCCUGCACAGGCUCAGGUGAUCACGGCACAGCAUGGACCUCCAACCAAAAGGAAAUUCCCCCAGACCAGGAAAUAAGUCAGCAAGCAGGAAGAGGAACCCACGGCGGGCCUCCCCAAGAACCUGCAGGGGCAAGGAGGUGUGACGGCUGCACCGAGCCCGCAGAGAUGGGGAAGGACGACCUGCCCCUGCUUCCGCAUGGAGAAUCCACUGGAAAGUCCUGUCUGAGCAGGCACUGCCUAGAUUCCUCUCCCCAAGGCCUCCUAUAAAGGAAAUAAAUUAACUGAGGAGAAGGAAGGAAGAGGAGGGAGACUCCCUCUGGAUUUUU
This is a long non-coding RNA of Pan troglodytes (chimpanzee), 3980 nucleotides long. RefSeq lists it as uncharacterized. The transcript has 3 exons. NCBI's taxonomy places the organism in Eukaryota, Metazoa, Chordata, Mammalia, Primates, Hominidae. The record is from RefSeq and is a predicted model, not a curated record.